RNAcentral lists this transfer RNA (69 nucleotides) under Brachyistius frenatus (kelp perch). Its description in RNAcentral is "tRNA-Arg". It matches the Rfam family "tRNA". From Rfam's summary of the family: Transfer RNA (tRNA) molecules are approximately 80 nucleotides in length. Their secondary structure includes four short double-helical elements and three loops (D, anti-codon, and T loops). The record is from RNAcentral. Lineage: Eukaryota; Metazoa; Chordata; Actinopteri; Embiotocidae.
AGACAAUUAGUUUAAGCAAAACCUUUGACUUCGGCUCAAAAACUUAUGGUUAAAAUCCAUAACUGUCUA